UAAUAAUUUGGUUAUGGUUAACCAAUUAGCUCUGUUAUUAGAUUACACAUGCAAACAUAUGUACCCCCGUAAACCUAAGUGUCCCACAUCUAGAAGAUAAAGACCUAUUCGAUAUUAGCCUAACGACAAUGAGACUUACGCCUGCAGUGAAGAAUACUGAUAAAAUUAUGAAAAUAAGAUACGGUAAAUAACAACAAGACUGACCAAAUUCGUGCCAGCAGCCGCGGUUAAACGAUGGGUCUAAGCUAAUUACAACGGAGAAAUGAAACAGCCCUUAGAUAAUAAAAAUAAAACGCUAGGUUCAAUUUUAUAUACCAAAUAAAUAUAAUUAUCAACACAACAAUUCAACAAAGUUAAGACCAAAACAAGGAUUUGAUACCCUUCUAUUCUUAACCACAAUAACCACCUCCUGGCACUACGAGCACAUGCUUAAAACCUAAGAACUUGGCGGUGUCUCAACAUACUAGGGGAGCCUGUUUUAUAACUGAUACUCCGCGCUAUUCUUCACCUGAGCUUGAAUACGUCAGCCUGUGUACUGCCGUCCUAAGCCUACAUUGCAAUUUAGUAAGCCACAAAGACUAACCUCUCUCAUGUCAGGUCGUAGUGCAGCCCACGCUCAGGCCAAAAUGGGCUACAUUUUCUAAAAAUCCGGAAUGAUCUAUAAAUAGCUCACAAAGGCGGACUUAGCAGUAAACCACACAUAAUUCGUGUGCUUGAAGAAGUGAACUGAGAUGUGCACAAAUCGCCCGUCACUCUUUCUGAAAAGAAAGAUAAGUCGUAACAUAGUUAGUGUAAUGGAAAUUGCACUUACCAGAAU
Molecule: non-coding RNA, 817 nt
Filed under: Glycera unicornis
Lineage: Eukaryota; Metazoa; Annelida; Polychaeta; Phyllodocida; Glyceridae
Source: RNAcentral